Molecule: ribosomal RNA, 440 nt
Filed under: uncultured bacterium
Lineage: Bacteria
Description: partial 16S ribosomal RNA
Rfam family: Bacterial small subunit ribosomal RNA
Source: RNAcentral
CCUACGGGUGGCAGCAGUGGGGAAUAUUGCACAAUGGGGGAAAGCCUGAUGCAGCGACGCCGCGUGAAGGAAGAAGUAUUUCGGUAUGUAAACUUCUAUCAGCAGGGAAGAAAAUGACGGUACCUGACUAAGAAGCCACGGCUAACUACGUGCCAGCAGCCGCGGUAAUACGUAGGGGGCAAGCGUUAUCCGGAUUUACUGGGUGGAAAGGGAGCGGAGGCGGUUUAGCAAGUCAGAAGUGAAAGACCGGGGCUCAACUCCGGGACUGCUUUGGAAACUGUUGAACUAGAGUGCAGGAGAGGUAAGUGGAAUUCCUAGUGUAGCGGUGAAAUGCGUAGAUAUUAGGAGGAACACCAGUGGCGAAGGCGGCUUACUGGACUGUAAAUGACGCUGAGGCUCGAAAGCGUGGGGAGCAAACAGGAUUAGAUACCCUAGUAGUC